RNAcentral lists this ribosomal RNA (683 nucleotides) under uncultured fungus. RNAcentral's name for it is "eukaryotic LSU rRNA". The stretch from base 258 to 412 matches the Rfam family "5.8S ribosomal RNA". Lineage: Eukaryota; Fungi. The record is from RNAcentral.
UAGAGGAAGUAAAAGUCGUAACAAGGUUUCCGUAGGUGAACCUGCGGAAGGAUCAUUACCGAAUUGUCAACAUGAGCUGUUGCUGGCCCUUCAAAUGGAGGGCAUGUGCACGCUCUGUUUGCACAUCCAUUAACACCUGUGCACCCUUGCAGUUUCAUGGUUUGGGGGGCCCUGUCCUCCUUCUGUGGUUCUGCUCCUUUACAAACACACUAUGAAGUCUUUUGGAAUGUGUGCCGCGUUUUAACGCAAUACAAUACAACUUUCAGCAACGGAUCUCUUGGCUCUCGCAUCGAUGAAGAACGCAGCGAAAUGCGAUAAGUAAUGUGAAUUGCAGAAUUCAGUGAAUCAUCGAAUCUUUGAACGCACCUUGCGCCCUUUGGCUAUUCCGAAGGGCAUGCCUGUUUGAGUAUCAUGAACACCUCAACUCUCACAGCUUGCCGUGAUGAGCUUGGACUCUGGGGGUUUUGCUGGCCCUGUGGUCGGCUCCUCUCAAAUGCAUCAGCUCGCCAGUGUUUGGUGGCGUCACAGGUGUGAUAACAUCUACGCUUGUGGUUGCCUGCCAGGUAAUCUUCAGCGAUGAAGGUUUGCUGGGGCUUCAAAACGUCUCUCCUUGGCAGAGACAGCUUCUGAACGUUCGAUCUCAAAUCAGGUAGGAUUACCCGCUGAACUUAAGCAUAUCAAUA